This 253-nucleotide ribosomal RNA is filed under the name uncultured bacterium. RNAcentral describes it as "partial 16S ribosomal RNA". It matches the Rfam family "Bacterial small subunit ribosomal RNA", at positions 524 to 776 of the family's 1533-position model. The record is from RNAcentral.
UACGUAGGGGGCAAGCGUUGUCCGGAAUUAUUGGGCGUAAAGCGCGUGUAGGCGGUCCACUAAGUCGGCUGUGAAAGUCCAGGGCUCAACCCUGGGAUGCCGGUCGAUACUGGUGGACUAGAGUCCGGAAGAGGCGAGUGGAAUUCCGAGUGUAGAGGUGAAAUUCGUAGAUAUUCGGAAGAACACCAGUGGCGAAGGCGGCUCACUGGACCGGCAUUGACGCUGAGGUGCGAAAGCGUGGGGAGCAAACAGG